AUCCUAUAGGAUCCUAUAGGAAUUCCUAUAGGAAAUGCCAUUUCCUAUAGGAAUUGGAAAUGCCAUUUCCUAUAGGAAUUCCUAUAGGAUCCUAUAGGAA
Molecule: non-coding RNA, 100 nt
Organism: Paramuricea clavata
Lineage: Eukaryota; Metazoa; Cnidaria; Anthozoa; Malacalcyonacea; Plexauridae
Source: the annotation of a GenBank genome assembly